AUGGCUGCUCCAGUGUAUCUGGGUGAGGGUUCGCAGGUUCGUGGUGGAGAUCCAUACUUCACAGAGAUCAUCAGCAAGAGGAUGCGAGUACCAGAUCGCCUGAGUGUCGGCCAUGGAAUCCUGGCUGAGGAACAGAGGCCUGAGGAUCUACUUCCUGUCUACAGCAUGCAUGUACCAGACAGACUGGCCUUAACAGAUGCUCCUGACCUCAGUCCACGGCCACUGUUCUCCAAGCAAAGUGCCUCGUCAAUGUGGGAUCUGCAGCGUGGAACGUGGGGUAAGGAGGCAUACACGCGAGAGCCCGUUCAGAGUCCGCUACGCAGAUCGUAUAGUGACCAGACAUUCGGUAGAACCCCACCUGGAACCCCCACACACUCCAAACAAGCACUACAUUCUCCUUCUAUUAGCCGCUGUGCUGGAAGAGCGCCCCCUGUAGACCCAGAUAUGCCCCUGCCUGAUCCCCUGCAGUUCCCCAACAGCCCACCCAGCCUACUGUGCCCACAGAGCAUGCUCCAGGCGGCCAGGCAGCUGGGCCAGCAGGCAUCAAAGAAAAUCCUCCAGACUGUCUCUCAAAAAUACUCUUCCAGGUUCGGUUUCCAAGAAAACCCUCCACCUCAGCCAGAGAUCCACACUGAUCAGACCAGGAAAAGGUGAUAGAGGCUUCUUCUGGUUCUGUUUGUUGAUGCUUGAAUGAAUUAACUUGAUGAAUUUAGAGGAGCUUGCAUUUUGUUUUAAUGUAGCUGAUCGAACAAGACAUGUUUGUUGUCUGAGGUUUGCUUCUUUAGCUGUGAGGCUAAUGUGGCUAAGAAGCUAAGAAGCUAAAAAGCCACCGGUUAACAUGGUGGAAGCUGCAUACCUUCACAUUGGAGUGCCUGAAACGUUCUGAAAAAAGUAAGCUGCAUGACUUAAACAGUAGUAUGGCUGCUUACAAGCAUGAUUAAUACUAGAAAAAAUGAAUGUGGCUGAAAUUAUUUUCUCCUUUUUUUGAUUUUCAAACAGUGAUGCCUGGUUGAAUAUCAUUUAAAUCAUUUAGGUUUAUUUUUGUGAUUUUAAUUUUAAAUUGAUUUUAGCAGCAUUUUCUAAUUUAAUGGCCAAAUUGUGUGCUUUGAAUGAAGAGUUUGUGUAUGAGAGUGCCAUGUUGGUUCUUCUGUUGGUUUUCUAGAUUUCAGAGAUGUGAAGCUUUUCUUAGUGUCUGUUGAACUCUUAAGCACCCAUUGCUCCGUCAUCCACCAUCUCUUAUCUCUUAUGGUGGUGAGAUUGUCAUAUUGAUGUGUGUUGUGUGGUCUGCUAGUCAUGAAAGGAAGUUGAAUUGGAGCAGUGCAGUAAUUAACAUUAAGAGUAAUGCAUAUGUGAAAGAGCUCUGACCUGAACUAAAGUGUCUCUCCGAUGCUGUUUGCUCGUCUCAGCACUGUGCAGGAGUCCUGGCUCAGUCCUGAAGAAGAGACGGGAACUGCAGUUGAGUUCAUCGUGCUUCGCAGACAGGUCAGUUCAUACAGCUUUACUUAGACUGUUCUGAUCAUCACUGUCUCACAAAAACCUUGUAUCUGAUUAAAGU
Pygocentrus nattereri (red-bellied piranha) is the source of this 1555-nucleotide long non-coding RNA. The record is from Ensembl. Lineage: Eukaryota; Metazoa; Chordata; Actinopteri; Characiformes; Serrasalmidae.